This 522-nucleotide ribosomal RNA is filed under the name uncultured bacterium. RNAcentral's name for it is "bacterial SSU rRNA". It matches the Rfam family "Bacterial small subunit ribosomal RNA", at positions 777 to 1297 of the family's 1533-position model. The record is from RNAcentral.
AAUAGAUACCCGGGUAGUCCACGCCGUAAACGAUGAGUGCUAAGUGUUAGAGGGUUUCCGCCCUUUAGUGCUGCAGCUAACGCAUUAAGCACUCCGCCUGGGGAGUACGGCCGCAAGGCUGAAACCCAAAGGAAUUGACGGGGGCCCGCACAAGCGGUGGAGCAUGUGGUUUAAUUCGAAGCAACGCGAAGAACCUUACCAGGUCUUGACAUCCUCUGCCAACCCUAGAGAUAGGGCGUUCCCCUUCGGGGGACAGAGUGACAGGUGGUGCAUGGUUGUCGUCAGCUCGUGUCGUGAGAUGUUGGGUUAAGUCCCGCAACGAGCGCAACCCUUGAUCUUAGUUGCCAGCAUUUAGUUGGGCACUCUAAGGUGACUGCCGGUGACAAACCGGAGGAAGGUGGGGAUGACGUCAAAUCAUCAUGCCCCUUAUGACCUGGGCUACACACGUGCUACAAUGGAUGGUACAAAGAGCUGCGAAUCCGCGAGGGUAAGCGAAUCUCAUAAAGCCAUUCUCAGUUCGGA